AAAAAAUUUGCUUGUUAAAUAAAAUAAAAAAAAUAGUAAAGUGACUGGUAACUUUAAUGUCAUAUUUAUUACUCUAUUAAUAAACAUAGACAUAACAAUGUGGCCAAAAACACCAAGUGCUUUUAAAAAACUCAAAGAUUAUCAUUGGAAAAAGUUGUUGACAAACCAACAAGAGUUGUCAGGAUGGAGAACGAUGGCUAAUGAAUCCAAUGAAACACCAAAAGGACAUAAUUUAUCAUUACCUGAAAGUAAGCAUGUCGUGAUAUGUGGAGGUGGUGUCAUGGGUGCUGCAGUUGCUUAUCACUUAGCAGCUGCGGGAUUAGGACCACAGACUAUUCUUCUUGAAGGGUCCAGAAUUGGUGAAGGGACAACUUGGCAUUCAUCUGGUUUAGUUGGAGCAUUUAAACCAAGUUUAUUUCAAGUCAAGCUAACACAAGACAGUAUUGCUCUGUACAAAGAUCUUGAAGCAAGAGGUCUUUCAACUGGAUGGAAACAAUGUGGGAGCCUGUCAGUUGCCAGAACUAGAGAUAGGAUGACAUCCUUCAGACGUAUGAAAGCUCAAGCUGUAUCUCGUGACAUCGAAUGCGAGCUGAUAACUCCAGCAGAAGCCCAAAAACUUUGUCCUCUACUCCGAGUCGAUGAUUUAGUAGGCGGUAUCUGGAUCCCCGGUGAUGGUGUCGCUGAUCCUUAUCUUACUUGUUUAACUUUAAUCGAAGAAGCUCAGAAAAACGGAGUAGAAAUUUAUGAAAAUUGUCGUGUAACAAAAGUAUUGAGUAACCAAGGAAAAGUGUCCAAAGUUGAAACCACUCGUGGUAGUAUUAAUUGUGAACACUUUGUCAAUUGCGCUGGAUUUUGGGCUAGAAGUAUUGGGAAAUUAAGUGAUCCUUAUGUUAAGGUGCCAUUACAUCCAGUGGAACAUUACUAUCUACACACAAAAAAAAUACCAGGCUUGGAUCCAAUGACUCCAGUGGUACGAGAUCUAGACGGGUCUGUUUAUUUUCGCGAAAACGGAGGAAGAAUACUAGCCGGUGGCUUUGAAUCAAAUGCCAAGCCAGCAUUCGAAGAUGGGAAAAUACCUGAAAAUAUAUCGGAGAGAAUUUUACCCGAAGAUUGGGACCAUUUUCAUGUUCUGUUGGAGGAAAUGCUCCAGCGUAUUCCCUCGAUGGGAGAUGCUGAAUUAGAACGUCUGUGCAAUUGUCCAGAAGCCUUUUCUCCCGACUGUAAAUGGAUCGUCGGUGAAGCUCCGGAACUUCGAAAUUAUUACGUCGCAGCUGGAAUGAAAACCAUCGGAGUUUCGGCAGCUGGUGGGGUAGGACGAGCCACUGCGGAGCUCAUAAUUAAUGGAUCAACCUCCUUUGACAUGUACGAGCUAGAAGUCUCGCGAUUUUUGGGUCUCCAUAAUAAUCGGACUUUUCUACGUGAUCGAGUUAGAGAGGUACCGAGUACGCAUUACGCGCUUCAGUAUCCUCAUCAUGAAUACAAGACUGGUAGAAAUCUCAGGAUGUCGCCGAUCUAUCCUAAAUUAAAAGAAGCUGGUGCUGUUUUUGGUCAAGUCAUGGGAUAUGAACGCCCUAGUUGGUUUGAGCCAGCUUCUGAAGAUGAUUUUGAUCCAAUUGAUGAGUCUCGCAGAUAUAAAAUCGCUUACACAAAUACUUUCGGAAAACCACCAUGGUUUGAUGCUGUUGCUAAUGAAUAUGCUGCAUGCAGAGAAACAAUUGGUUUAAGUGACUAUUCUUCUUUUACCAAAAUUGAUCUAUGGUCAAGUGGUACAGAGGUUGUGGACUUACUCCAAUAUCUGUGUUCAAAUGACGUAGAUGUGCCAAUAGGAGGUAUUAUUCACACUGGAAUGCAGAAUCACUGCGGUGGAUAUGAAAAUGACUGUAGUUUGGCUCGUAUUUCACACAACCAUUACAUGAUGAUUGCACCGACAAUCCAGCAAACGAGGUGUAAGCAUUGGAUAAGACGUCAUCUUCCAGCAGACGGAUCCGUCGCAGUGUCUGAUGUGACAUCAGCAUAUACUGCGAUUUGCAUAAUGGGAUCUGCGACUCGGCAAUUGCUAGCUGAGCUUACUGAUACCGAUCUUAGUCCUAAAAAUUUUCCAUUUUUUACAUUCAAAGAACUUGACGUAGGUCUGGCGACUGGAAUAAGGACGAUGAAUUUGACACAUACUGGAGAGCUUGGAUAUGUCUUGUACAUUCCUAAUGAGUUUGCUCUUCAUGUAUACACGAGAUUGAUUGAAGCUGGCGAAAAAUACAGAAUGAAACAUGCUGGAUAUUAUGCGACGCGUGCUUUGCGUGUGGAAAAAUUUUAUGCAUUUUGGGGUCAAGAUCUAGAUACCUUUACAACUCCAUUAGAAUGUGGACGUGCUUGGCGUGUUAAAUUUGACAAAGACAUAGAUUUUAUUGGAAGGGAUGCAUUGAUGAAACAACGUGACACCGGAGUUGAGCGCAAAUAUGUUCAAUUAUUAUUAAUUGACCACGAUCCGGAUAUCGAUAUCUGGAGUUGGGGAGGCGAACCGAUAUAUAGAAAUGGACAGUACUGUGGAAUGACAACCACUACCGGUUAUGGAUAUACUUUCAAAAGCCAAGUAUGUCUUGGAUUUAUUCAAAAUAUUGACGACAAAGGUCGCACUCAAGUAGUGACCAAUGAGUACGUGUUAUCAGGUGACUACGAAGUUGACGUUGCAGGUAUAAGAUACCGAGCCAAAUGCCACUUACACAGCCCGAACCUGCCAACUAAAUUCCCUGACAAGGAACGUGAUUCUUAUCACGCUACUCGUGAUCAAGUAACUCGGUAAAUAAUUUUCAAAUCUAAAACCUUCCAAAUAUCUGUACAAAUAAAAACUGUAUAUAAAUUAAUAACUAUGUUAAUUUUUUAGUUCGAUA
Molecule: unclassified non-coding RNA, 2885 nt
Filed under: Cotesia glomerata
Lineage: Eukaryota; Metazoa; Arthropoda; Insecta; Hymenoptera; Braconidae
Description: pyruvate dehydrogenase phosphatase regulatory subunit, mitochondrial, transcript variant X1
Source: RNAcentral